RNAcentral lists this ribosomal RNA (578 nucleotides) under uncultured bacterium. RNAcentral describes it as "bacterial SSU rRNA". It matches the Rfam family "Bacterial small subunit ribosomal RNA", at positions 102 to 694 of the family's 1533-position model. The record is from RNAcentral.
ACGGGUGAGUAACACGUGGGUGAUCUGCCCUGCACUUCGGGAUAAGCCUGGGAAACUGGGUCUAAUACCGGAUAUGACUUCAGGUUGCAUGACUUGGGGUGGAAAGAUUUAUCGGUGCAGGAUGGGCCCGCGGCCUAUCAGCUUGUUGGUGGGGUAAUGGCCUACCAAGGCGACGACGGGUAGCCGACCUGAGAGGGUGACCGGCCACACUGGGACUGAGACACGGCCCAGACUCCUACGGGAGGCAGCAGUGGGGAAUAUUGCACAAUGGGCGAAAGCCUGAUGCAGCGACGCCGCGUGAGGGAUGACGGCCUUCGGGUUGUAAACCUCUUUCAGCAGGGACGAAGCGCAAGUGACGGUACCUGCAGAAGAAGCACCGGCUAACUACGUGCCAGCAGCCGCGGUAAUACGUAGGGUGCAAGCGUUGUCCGGAAUUACUGGGCGUAAAGAGUUCGUAGGCGGUUUGUCGCGUCGUUUGUGAAAACCAGCAGCUCAACUGCUGGCUUGCAGGCGAUACGGGCAGACUUGAGUACUGCAGGGGAGACUGGAAUUCCUGGUGUAGCGGUGAAAUGCGCAGA